AUGGGGCGUCAGGGACGUGUCCAAGACAUGCUUUUUAGUGUUGCUUCCAUGAGACUUGUGUUUGCAGGACAUAAACUACAGUUUAUGAAGAACGUGACCCUGAGACGCAGUUUCAACGUUUCAAAUGCAGGCAAAAAAUUUUCAUCUGGUCAUAUUUUUUACUGUCAGCUCAACACGAAUUCAAGUCAUCUGGCACACAUCAGGCAAUCAUGCGUUUUUUUCUCCAUAGGCAUUAUUGUGGUCUCAUGGAAAGGAUUUCAGGAACACAUUGGACUGUGAUAAUGGAACAUGCAGCAAAAUUUGAUUUCCCUCCAUUCCCGGAGGCUUUCUGGAGCAAGAAAAGCGUAAAGAUACAGUUUAGAUAAGAAUAUAGGUCUAAUGUUCUGUAAUGCAAUAUUGUAAUGCAUUAAACAUAGACUAACUUUCCUCAACACUGUGUAAAACACAAAACAAGGAAGUGCAAAGUUAAAACACCUGUAAAACAUGACAAUAAUCAAUAGAGAAAAUUCCUUCAUAUUAAGACAGUACAUUGUGUGCUUUUUCUGGACAUUUUCACAGUAUGUUCUACUGGUUGAGCUAGAGGAAGACAAAUAAAUAAAUCUCUUAAACAGAACUGAAAUUCCUG
Cyprinus carpio (common carp) is the source of this 625-nucleotide long non-coding RNA. NCBI's taxonomy places the organism in Eukaryota, Metazoa, Chordata, Actinopteri, Cypriniformes, Cyprinidae. The record is from Ensembl.